Molecule: non-coding RNA, 1062 nt
Organism: Cinara cedri
Lineage: Eukaryota; Metazoa; Arthropoda; Insecta; Hemiptera; Aphididae
Source: the annotation of a GenBank genome assembly
AGCUAAGUUUGUAUACAUUUAAAAAUUUUAUCAUAUUUUAGAUAAUUUGUAAAAAAAAAAAAAUCAUAUUUGACUAUACUUCAAAAACAUAAAUAGACAUACCUAUAGAACUAAUUAUUAAUUAGAACUAUAGUUACUAAAGCAUAAAUUGCAAUAAAUAAAUUUAAUAUAAUAAAGUACAUAAAAAAUGGAAUAGAUAAAUAAAUAGAUAAAGAGACUACAUUAUAUAGGUACACUGGUAUAUUACAAAGGGUAUAGAUCACUAGUAUUAUUUAACAACCAUAAUUUAAUAUAGUGUUUAUAUAUUUUAUUAGACGAACUGUUAAUAAUUUGCAGUGGAAUGUCGUUUAAUAAUCUCAAACCCACUUGCGAAAAACAUCGACUAGAUUUCGAUAUACGAACAGUAGGUAUUUCUAAGUUGGUUUUUUGACGUGUGUUAUAGUGUCUAGGUUUAAACUCGAUUAGAUUAAAUUUGUAUGUGUAAUAUAGGGCAUUUCUGUAGAAUAGUUGUUGCGUUGUAAAAAUUUUAAAUUCAGUAAACAGAUCUUUAGUUGGAUAUGUUUUUCGUUUACUUAAAAUUAUUUUAAUUAUGCUUUUUUGAGCUCUGAAUAUUUUAUUGCUUCUUAUAAUACCUAAGCCACCCCAGGCGGUUAUUCCGUAUUGUAUAAUAGAUUGUGUCAUGGCAAAGUAUAAUAAACGUAGAGCUUGGUUAUUUAGGAAUUUUCUUGCGUUAAUGAACAGAUAGUGCAUUUUCCGUAGUUUCAUUAUUGUAUUAUUUAUGUGUGUAUCCCAUUUUAGGUGUUGAUCAUAUGUAAUACCUAAAUAUUUAAUAGUUUCCGUUUUAUUUAUAACAUUACACGAACAAUUAUUAGAUUUACAGUCGAUGUCAUGAAUUUUAAUUGUAUUUGAAUUGGGUUGGGUUCUAUUGUCUAGGGUGAAAUUAAUGUAAUUUGAUUUAGCGUAAUUUAUUCUUAAAUUGUGUUUGAGGAACCAUGCAUUUAUCAAGUGUAGGUCUGUUUCUGCUUUUAGGUGAACUUCGUCCCAGUUGUCCCCUGAUAUAAG